RNAcentral lists this ribosomal RNA (247 nucleotides) under uncultured bacterium. RNAcentral's name for it is "partial 16S ribosomal RNA". It matches the Rfam family "Bacterial small subunit ribosomal RNA", at positions 110 to 353 of the family's 1533-position model. The record is from RNAcentral.
GUAACGCGUGAGUAACCUGCCUUUCAGAGGGGGAUAACGUUCUGAAAAGAACGCUAAUACCGCAUGAGACUACAGAGCUGCAUGGCUCAGUGGUCAAAGGAGCAAUCCGCUGAAAGAUGGACUCGCGUCCGAUUAGAUAGUAGGCGGGGUAACGGCCCACCUAGUCGACGAUCGGUAGCCGGACUGAGAGGUUGAACGGCCACAUUGGGACUGAGACACGGCCCAGACUCCUACGGGAGGCAGCAUG